Molecule: long non-coding RNA, 235 nt
Filed under: Amborella trichopoda
Lineage: Eukaryota; Viridiplantae; Streptophyta; Magnoliopsida; Amborellales; Amborellaceae
Description: long non-coding RNA (ATRI_LNC001459)
Source: RNAcentral
CGGACGAUUCCACACAGUGACUCACCGAUUCACUGUGCGAAAUCGGCGAGUCCGUGAAGAACACGGGUUGCACAGUGUUCUUCACGGAUUUUUUUCAAAUUUGUCAUUUUUUGAUCAUUUUUUUUGUUUUUUUCGGCACGUGAUCUGUUUUGCAGGCUGUAAACAGCUUUAUUCAGCUUUUUCAACGAUUUAAUGGUGGAAAAAUUGGUUGUUUUUGGAUCAAGAAAAAUUCGGG